Molecule: non-coding RNA, 168 nt
Organism: Pelobates cultripes (western spadefoot toad)
Lineage: Eukaryota; Metazoa; Chordata; Amphibia; Anura; Pelobatidae
Source: the annotation of a GenBank genome assembly
GCAGACACAUUCCAGCCAAUCAGCAGCAGACUCUCCCUCCCAGACCCUCCCACCUCCUGGACAGCAUCCAUUUUACAUUCAUUGUGAAGCUGCAUUCUUAGUGAGCUGUCCAGGAGGUGGGAGGGUCUGGGAGGGAGGGUCUGCUGCUGAUUGGCUGGAAUGUGUCUG